GACGAACGCUGGCGGCGUGCCUAAUACAUGCAAGUCGAACGAGAGCGACCGGUGCUUGCACUGGUCAAUCUAGUGGCGAACGGGUGAGUAACACGUGGGUAACCUGCCCAUCAGAGGGGGAUAACAUCCGGAAACGGAUGCUAAAACCGCAUAGGUCUUCGAGCCGCAUGGCUUGAAGAGGAAAAGAGGCGCAAGCUUCUGCUGAUGGAUGGACCCGCGGUGCAUUGGCUAGUUGGUGAGGUAACGGCUCACCAAGGCCGUGAUGCAUAGCCGACCUGAGAGAGUGAUCGGCCACAUUGGGACUGAGACACGGCCCAAACUCCUACGGGAGGCAGCAGUAGGGAAUCUUCCGCAAUGGACGCAAGUCUGACGGAGCAACGCCGCGUGAGUGAAGAAGGUUUUCGGAUCGUAAAACUCUGUUGUUAGAGAAGAACAAGUGCUAGAGUAACUGUUAGCGCCUUGACGGUAUCUAACCAGAAAGCCACGGCUAACUACGUG
This 498-nucleotide ribosomal RNA is filed under the name uncultured bacterium. RNAcentral's name for it is "partial 16S ribosomal RNA". It matches the Rfam family "Bacterial small subunit ribosomal RNA", at positions 28 to 507 of the family's 1533-position model. The record is from RNAcentral.